Molecule: long non-coding RNA, 2634 nt
Organism: Conger conger (European conger)
Lineage: Eukaryota; Metazoa; Chordata; Actinopteri; Anguilliformes; Congridae
Exons: 4
Source: RefSeq, a predicted model, not a curated record
GAAGAAUGUCAUGACAAAAUGUUUUCAAAUAAAUCUUCUUCGCAAUUCUGCAAACCACACGCAGAUUGCCAAUCCUUGGGACUUCAGGAAAUUACAGCUGGAACAAACACAUCAGACAGUGUAUGUGGAACAAGAAAUUAUCGUGUUGCUGUGCUUGUGCCUGUGGCGCCUGUAGUAGUACUAUCAACUGUCAUAGGAAUUUUCAUUUCAAGAAAGAGAAAGAAGAGAAAACAAAAUGGAGGGAUAGAACAGCCACAGGAUGAAGGUAAGGGAGUGCACAUCUUUGUGGGGGAGUUUACAAUGCUGAUAAGAAUACCAUUAGAUGGGCUGUGUGUAGUCUGUACUACAGUUACAGUCUGCAUCGGUUACAGUCUGUUCUAACAGGUUAGAGCCAUUCUGUUCAUAUACAUUACUGUUACAGUCUCUUCUAACAGCUUAGAACCAUUCUGUUCAUAUACAUUAUAAUGAGGGGUAGUUUCAGUUAAUGUAUCAUCUCAUCAAUUAAUCACCACUGUAAAGACAAACCAAAAAACUGGAACAAAACAAAAACACAUCAGUGAAUAUGGACCAAGAUAUGUUCAUGUUCUCAUAGUUACUGUGGCUGUGCUGCUUGUAUUAGAAGUAUUAUCAGUUCUCAUUUUAAGUAAUCUACCAAUCUAUCUGAUGAGACAUUAUUGUUUAGAGUUGACAGUUAUCUGUAGUCUGUGAACAGAAAUCCUCAUAUAUCCACAAGAGAUAUGUGUGGUUACCAUACUAGAUUGUAAAGAAUUAAUCAAAAAAUAAAAGUACAUUUUAAAGUUAUUCUGAAAGAUAUAAACUUUGUAUUCAAGUAAUUUAAUAAUUAAGCAGUAUUUUGCUUUCAGAUAAGAGAACGCAGAACAUGGUAUGUGUAAAAUAUUUUCACAUUAUGUGCAUGCAUUUUUAAAUACAUUUCAAGUGCAGAAUUCCUGGUGUUGAUGAAUGAAAUGAUAAUUUUACGGUUAGUACUGCAUUUACUGAGAUAGUCUCCUCUUUUCUAGGAAACAGAAAAUGAAAACAUGUCAAACCUGCUGCAGGAUGAAGACUGCUUGAUGAUGGCUUGAUGAGGGAAACAAUGAAGCUGAUAUUAGAUGUCACAUGACUGCCCCUACUACAGUCUGUUUUCUCCAACUCACCACCAGCAUGUCGGACAGAGACACUCAGAAAAGAGCUCCAGCCCACCGUGUAGCUCACUGGGUGAAAGGACUGCUUGAGCAGAAUCCGAACCGCGGCUGGCAGCCCCACAGGAGCGGCACGUAAUCGGCGUCGCAUCGUUCCCGGAUCUGAGAGGGAUACAGCAGGAAUAGCCAGCAUUGUUCAUCACUGCUGCAACUGGCUGGUCGCUUGAGCGGCCAUGGCUUGUUCUCUGCACACACGUAUGAGUGGGUCUCCUCGGCCCCUGCUCUGCGUGACCGCGGGUUGUCUGGCAGGCACGUGUUUCAGAGGAAUAUAUGUAUAUGGCUUUCAAAGAGGGGGACCAGACAGCUGAAGAGCGUACAGGGGGAACUUAAGGUCAGGCUGAAAGAGGCAAAGGAGGAAUACAGAAAGAAGGUGGAACAGAAGCUGCAGGAGAACAGCAUGAAGGAAGUCUGGGAUGGCAUGAAAACCAUCACAGGCUGCAGGAGGAGGAACAGUACAGCGGAUGGGGAUUUCGAUAGAGCAAACAAACUCAACCAUUUCUACAACCGUUUUGACUGCUCUGCUACUCUCUCCUGCUCAGUGUCCAGUUUGUCCAGUGGUGCAAUGUCAACCAUAUGCAACUGAACAUUCCCAAAACCAAGGAGAUGGUGGUGGAUUUCAGGAGGAUGAAGCCAACUAUGCUGCCAGUCUCCAUUGAAGGGGUCAAUGUGGAGGUGGUCAGCACAUAGAUACCUAGGGGUACACCUGGACAAUAAACUGGACUGGUCAGCCAACACUGAAGCACUCUACAGGAAAGGGCAGAGUCGGCUCUACUUCCUCAGGAGGCUGCGGUCUUUCAAUGUCUGCAGUAAGCUCCUCUGGAUAUUUUACCAGUCUGUCAUUGCCAGUGUCCUUUCUUAUGCCAUUGUGUGCUGGGGAGGCAGCAUUAAGAAAAGGGACGCUGGGCGACUGGAAAGGCUGGCUCUGUAGUUGGAAUGGAGCUGGAGUGCUUAACAACAUCAACAGCAGAGAAAAGGACAGGAUGCUGGCAAUCAUGGACAAUGACCGCCACCCACUAUAUAACACACUAAACCGACAGAAGAGCAUCUUCAGCAGCAGACUCCUGUCUCUGACAUGCUCAACAGACAGGUCAAGAAGGUCCUUUGUUCCAUGGGCCAUUCAUUUAUACAAUACACAAAACUGGAGGAGAUAACUGGACUUUUCACCAUGAGUCUCUUUCUGCUCCUUCCACCACAUCACGCUGUCUACUGUUUACUCUUUACUUUGUACUUUUUGCACUACCACGAUUGCACAUUUAUUUGAUUGCACAUUUAUCUAAUUUAACAUAGCACCUUAUUUUUAUUACCAUAGCACCUUAUUUCUGAUUUUUUUACUUUUGAUCUUUAUGUGUGUGAGAUAUGUGUGUAUAUAUGUGUAUGUAUAAGCUACUGAAUGCCUAAAAUUUCCCUUGGGAUGAAUAAAGUAUCUAUCUAUCUA